CCUUAACACUUUCGCCAAUAGUCUUCCAUUAGGGUCUUUCAGUGUUAGGUAGUUAUCCCUCAUCCUAACAUCACAUCCUUGUUCAGUAGCUUGUCCCAAGCUUAAUAUGUUGCUUUUUAGGUCUGGAAUGUAGUAUAUGUCGGUCAAGAGUCUAUGUUCCCAUGUCUUUGCUUCAAAUAGUAUCGACCCCUUGCCAUUGAUGUCGACACAUGAACCAUCUCCGAACUUCACCUUUCCUUUAAUGCUUUCAUUAAGUUCAGAGAAG
This 265-nucleotide long non-coding RNA is filed under the name Brassica napus (rape). Its description in RNAcentral is "long non-coding RNA (BNAP_LNC015044)". The record is from RNAcentral. Lineage: Eukaryota; Viridiplantae; Streptophyta; Magnoliopsida; Brassicales; Brassicaceae.